RNAcentral lists this long non-coding RNA (2089 nucleotides) under Cyanistes caeruleus (blue tit). RNAcentral describes it as "lncRNA (ENSCCEG00000001510.1)". Lineage: Eukaryota; Metazoa; Chordata; Aves; Passeriformes; Paridae. The record is from RNAcentral.
GGCUAAUUGGCUUGACGUUUGCUAAGUUUUCAUUAGUACUGUACUUACCUCUCUCUGAAACUGACCACCUGGUGAGAUUUUCAUUUUUUUUUUCCUGUCUCUCCAGCACUGAGCAACCAGUUAACCAUAUACUAGCCACCACAAUGCAUAGAAAGACGUCUAUAUCAGAUUAAAUAGAUCCAUGAAGUUAUGAUUCAGGUUCUAUUGAUAUCUGGUGAUACAGAUCUGUCAGGUUCUAUUGAUAUCUUAUAAGUCAACCUAUAGAAGCAGCUUGUAAGUUUGACUUAAGUUCUAUAGGCCUCAAACCCCCCAAGACAUGUGGUGAUAUUUUUCUUUCUCACCCUGUUUUGGGAGGAGGUGAGCUUUUGUCUUCCCUGACAAAAUCACAGUUGCUGCCAAGGGAAACACAGCUGAGGAGCAGGAGUGACCCAGCCUUCCCUUUGCUUCCUUUCUUCUUCCCUCCCUGCUGCACAGCUCCCUUGCUCCAGAAGCGCGAUGCUGCCUCACCUGAGGAUUCAGAGCUGCCUCCAGGCCCUUGCAGGAGAAGUGCAGGUGCUCAGGAGAUUGAGGCUUCCCCAGCACCUGCCAAGAAAGUCUGUGCCACCUCUGCACUUGUUGGGGCUUCACCAGUGGAACCAUCAAGAGAGCUCAUCCAGAGAUUUAAUCUCUGCAAGCUCACGGUUCCACUGGUUCGCCUGGACCUGAAACGCCAUCCUGAGCUCAUGGUUCGCCUCGCUCCAGUCGACCCUGAAGCUGCUUGCAGGGCCCUUGGACAGAGCAACAGCUGCUCAUCUUCUCAGCAGCACAGCCCAGCCUGCCACCCAUCAGCUCCUUGGUGCCAGAAGCGCGAUGCUGCCUCACCUGAGGAUUCAGAGCUGCCUCCAGGCCCUUGCAGGAGAAGUGCAGCUGCUCAGGAGAGGGAGGCUUCCCCAGCACCUGCCAAGAAAGUCUGUGCCACCUCUGCACUUGUUGGGGCUUCACCAGUGGAACCAUCAAGAGAGCUCAUCCAGAGAUUUAAUCUCCGCAAGCUCACGGUUCCACUGGUUCGCCUGGACCUGAAACGCCAUCCUGAGCUCAUGGUUCGCCUCACUCCAGUCGACCCUGAAGCUGCUUGCAGGGCCCUUGGACAGAGCAACAGCUGCUCAUCUUCUCAGCAGUACAGCCCAGCCUGCCACCCAUCAGCUCCUUGGUGCCAGAAGCGCAGUGCUGCCUCACCUGAGGAUUCAGAGCUGCCUCCAGGCCCUUCCAGGACAAGUCCAGAUCCUCAAGGGCGUGAAGCUUCCCCAGCACGUGCCAAGAAAGUGUUUGCUACAUCUGGACUUGGGGUUUCAUCAGGCCAGCCAGGCACACACAGAUUCCAAUCCCAGCCAGAGCUCAUGACUCCACCAUUUCCUGCGCACCAUCAAAGCACUUCUGCGGCCUCUCCAGAGAGCAGCAGCUGCACUUCUCCAGAGCAGCACUUGCCAGCCAACAUCCCAUCAGCCGCCCCGGGCACUUCAGUCCCCAGUGCUCCAGCUGGCAGUGCUGGUUAUGCAGCAUGGAGAGCCCCAAGCUGGGUCUGGAGUACUCCUGGGGAAGAGGAAUUGCCACCGCUGGAUCUGGACCUUGUUCUGGAGACACUGGAGGAGAUGCUUUCACCAUCUGUGCCUGAAAGGUCUCCCUCUGCUCAGGUCAAUCCUAGUGUUGCCCGUGGCUCUUCAGGAGGGGAGGCUGUGAACAAGGCUGCAGCAGAGGGAGCUUUGCCUGUUUGCGGGAGCCGUGUGAACGUUUGCCAGGAGCCCGAGGAGCUUGGUAAGGAGUGAGCCCAGCGUGGUUUAGAGAGAUGGGAGACAGCUGCUCUGAGCCUGCCUCUGACAGGAAGGGAGAUCAGAAGAGUUGAGUUCUUGUCUGCAGCAGGGUUGGUGCUUCCUGGUGCUUUUAGUUCAAAUCCUGCACUGGCACAAGCUCCCCGAGCCCUGCCCCUCCAUGCUUUUCCAGAGGCUCUGACACCGAGUCCUCUGCUGUGGCAAGAGAGCCGGCAAGAAACCUGAGCUGGUGGCAGUUGUGUCACCAAGCUGCGUGUCCCAAUUGGUUCCCAGCUCACAGCAGC